RNAcentral lists this ribosomal RNA (250 nucleotides) under uncultured bacterium. RNAcentral describes it as "partial 16S ribosomal RNA". It matches the Rfam family "Bacterial small subunit ribosomal RNA", at positions 524 to 773 of the family's 1533-position model. The record is from RNAcentral.
UACAGAGGUCCCAAGCGUUGUUCGGAUUCACUGGGCGUAAAGGGUGCGUAGGUGGUCGGGUAAGUCCGAUGUGAAAUCUCCGAGCCUAACUCGGAAACUGCAUCGGAUACUAUUCGGCUUGAGGGUUGGAGGGGGGACUGGAAUACUUGGUGUAGCAGUGAAAUGCGUAGAUAUCAAGUGGAACACCAGUGGCGAAGGCGAGUCCCUGGACAACUCCUGACACUGAGGCACGAAAGCUAGGGGAGCAAAC